AGUAGUUUGAUCAUGGCUCAGGACGAACGCUGGCGGCGUGCUUAACACAUGCAAGUCGAACGGUGACCCAGGGCUUGCCCUGGUGAUCAGUGGCGAACGGGUGAGUAACACGUGGGCAACCUGCCCCUGACUUCGGGAUAACUCCUCGAAAGAGGAGCUAAUACCGGAUACGACCACUUCGGACAUCCGAUGGUGGUGGAAAGUUUUUCGGUCAGGGAUGGGCCCGCGGCCUAUCAGCUAGUUGGUGGGGUAAUGGCCUACCAAGGCGACGACGGGUAGCCGGCCUGAGAGGGCGACCGGCCACACUGGGACUGAGACACGGCCCAGACUCCUACGGGAGGCAGCAGUGGGGAAUAUUGCGCAAUGGGCGAAAGCCUGACGCAGCGACGCCGCGUGAGGGAUGAAGGCCUUCGGGUUGUAAACCUCUUUCAGCAGGGACGAAGCGAAAGUGACGGUACCUGCAGAAGAAGCACCGGCUAACUACGUG
RNAcentral lists this ribosomal RNA (487 nucleotides) under uncultured bacterium. RNAcentral's name for it is "bacterial SSU rRNA". It matches the Rfam family "Bacterial small subunit ribosomal RNA", at positions 1 to 507 of the family's 1533-position model. The record is from RNAcentral.